UACGUAGGGUGCGAGCGUUAAUCGGAAUUACUGGGCGUAAAGCGUGCGCAGGCGGUUUUGUAAGCCAGAUGUGAAAUCCCCGGGCUUAACCUGGGAAUGGCAUUUGGGACUGCAAGGCUUGAGUGCGGCAGAGGAGACUGGAAUUCCUGGUGUAGCGGUGGAAUGCGCAGAUAUCAGGAGGAACACCGAUGGCGAAGGCAGAUCGUCUGGGCCGUAACUGACGCUGAGGAGCGAAAGCAUGGGGAGCGAACAGG
RNAcentral lists this ribosomal RNA (254 nucleotides) under uncultured bacterium. RNAcentral describes it as "partial 16S ribosomal RNA". It matches the Rfam family "Bacterial small subunit ribosomal RNA", at positions 524 to 776 of the family's 1533-position model. The record is from RNAcentral.